Long non-coding RNA from Homo sapiens (human), 1043 nucleotides. Ensembl annotates it as DXZ4 associated non-coding transcript 2, distal. Its record names the gene DANT2. NCBI's taxonomy places the organism in Eukaryota, Metazoa, Chordata, Mammalia, Primates, Hominidae. The record is from Ensembl.
UCCUCUGACCUUCAGCUUCCACCCCCUCUGGGGAACAGGAGACACAGAAGAUGGAGGGAGGGAUGGCAGCCUACCCUGUGGCAACGCGGGAGUCGCGUUGCCGCAGGGGGCGCAUUGGGGUCCAGCCGUCCCCAGAACGCAGAUCAGAGGUAGUCGGACCUUUCCCGCUGGCGCGCAGCCUCAGCUAGGUAGGUCUCCUUCCUUCGUCUUUCCUUUCUUUGCCUUUCCUUUCCCUGACGCUGGGGGAAGUAGGGCAGGGGUUCUGUGCCAUAGGCGGCCUUUCUGGUGCAGAGGACCUUCCCCAUCCUCCAUCAUGUGAGCAGCCAGAGCCGGGCGCUCGAACUUGCGCAAUGGUGGCUGCCGCACCACCGGCUCGGGCGUCAGGCAGUUAUCUGGGAGUCCCCGAGGGCCGAGUCGGGGCCAUGUGGGCGGGUCGGGGUCUUGCGUUUUUGGAGCACUGAGUUUUUAACCCCUGCCUACGUUUUCAGUUCUGGCAAGUGUAGGGAGAGCCUCCUAGCAGAGUCCCUCUAGCCUUCCUCGUCGGUUGGCCUGGAAGCGUUUCUGUGUGGCCAAAGGGCGGGGCGAACAGGAGGAGAAGGGUGCGCACACGGAUUCCUUCACCCACUCGAGUUCUCCCCACCUACGUGGCUGGAGGAGGGUGCGCGUGCUCUGUGGGUUUGGACUGAGUGGUGGUUAAACCUCAUGGCCGCCGUGCGUGCUCACAAGUGCUGGGCUCCCUUGAAUGUACCCCUAAAGAGGGUACAUUUCCUCGGAUGAAAUUUUGGCCUAAAAGCAAUACAGCUCCCUUUCUACGUACGCAUUUAAAGACAUGGAAAGAGACCCCCCCCCCCAGAUUUUCAGGGGCUCGCUCACAUUUUCAUCUUUUUUCAGUUCUGUGAAAUGGGAGGAUCUGAAACGGCCAUGAUUAUUAAGAAAAAGAAAGAAUGAAGCUUCUUAAAUAAGUAUCAAAAAUUACAAAAGAUAGUGGUAAUAAUACAAAAUAUAAGCUCAACAAAUUAUAUGUAGACAAAAAAAGUCCAAAA